Molecule: long non-coding RNA, 1280 nt
Filed under: Coturnix japonica (Japanese quail)
Lineage: Eukaryota; Metazoa; Chordata; Aves; Galliformes; Phasianidae
Description: lncRNA (ENSCJPG00005005787.1)
Source: RNAcentral
AUGCAGAGAUCAGGAAGCAGCAGAGCUGAUGUCAAGAACAAGCUCAAGAGGCAUGGAUUGAUUUCCUUCAGUUUAAGUCCUCGGCCCUACAGCAGGAUCUGUUAUCACUGUGAUACAGGGUGGAUAUGUGUCCAUGCACUCAGAUUACACAGCUGGUUGGCUAAAACCUCUCUGGCACAGACAGCGUUCCCAAGGAAUACACAUGGAUCUCUGCUCAGGAGCAGAGGGAGGCAGAGAGGUACAGAGAGCCCUUGGAGGCUUUCAUCUGCCUUGUCAGCGAGUCUGGCUAUUUCUCCCUGGCUGCAGAAGCCAGCUAUGAUUUAAAGUGAGUUAUCAGCUUGCCUCUAAUCAUAUUUCAGUAGUUUGCUACUGUUAAUAGCUUCCAAUAUAGCUGAUAUCCAGAGGAAUUCUGGACCCAGUCCUGACUGUGAUACUGCUCAGGGUAACAACUCCAUGCAGACAAUUGCUGUUAUACAGACAUUUCCAAAACUGCAAGGGAAGCUCCAUAACUCAGCAAACACCAAAUGCAAAGUUAGCAAACACAAACCUGAGUCUUCUCUUGGGUAUCCAGUGCCAUCUUUAAACCCAACCUUUACAAAGCAGCAAUGUUUGAGGUGGUGCACAGAAUAGGUGGUAGUGCUGUACCUCUUCAUCCCUGCAAUAGACAAGUAGAGAUCCUAUGGAAAACAUCCACUCUCAGUCAAACAUCUUGCUCUUCUGAAGCAUAGGUCUGCCAUGUGCAAUGUGUGAAUCAGGCUUCUGCCUGCAAAUAGUAUGUGAUAGAACAGGAAGGGACCAGAUUGCUAGAAAUAUGUGCAAAGGAGCUGGAUUUGCUAGGUCUUCAUGUUACAUUUGCACCUGCUAUUUCCUGCCUUCUAAAUACAUGACAUUUCAGUAUCAGCAAUUUCUUCAGGGCUUUGCUUCUCUUAUGUAUGCUUGUGCACGUAUAUGUGCAUAAAUUCAUUGUUUGUUUGUUUUUGUAAAAGCAAACUGAAACUUCAGAAAUUCCAUCGUGUGAGUUGAGCUUCAUUCCUAGGUGAUUCAUUGGUUACAUGGGAACAUUUAUCCAGACUGUAUAGACUUCUACCAUCCGGGCUGUGGGAGUACCUGAUAGCAGGAGUGCGUGGUUAUCUUCCUUGUAGGUCAGCGUAUAAAGGAGGAGGAGGCAAAUGCUUUACAUCUGGGUUUCACAAAUGCUCACCACCAACAAGAGAUAGUGAGACUCUUGAAUCUUGGGUUGGCCCCUGAGCUCUGAAAUAAAACGUGUCCUUCUGGGUGCA